Molecule: non-coding RNA, 28 nt
Filed under: Mus musculus (house mouse)
Lineage: Eukaryota; Metazoa; Chordata; Mammalia; Rodentia; Muridae
Source: RNAcentral
UGAAGCUACAAAACUCAGCAUCCGAGGU